This 72-nucleotide transfer RNA is filed under the name Bos taurus (domestic cattle). It matches the Rfam family "tRNA". Rfam says of the family: Transfer RNA (tRNA) molecules are approximately 80 nucleotides in length. Their secondary structure includes four short double-helical elements and three loops (D, anti-codon, and T loops). The record is from Rfam by way of RNAcentral. RNAcentral also lists the same sequence under 1 other name. Lineage: Eukaryota; Metazoa; Chordata; Mammalia; Artiodactyla; Bovidae.
UCCCUGGUGGCUCAGAGGUUAAAGCAUCUGCCUGCAACAGGGGAGACCUGGGUUCAAUCCCUGGCUUGGGAA